Molecule: long non-coding RNA, 2560 nt
Filed under: Brassica napus (rape)
Lineage: Eukaryota; Viridiplantae; Streptophyta; Magnoliopsida; Brassicales; Brassicaceae
Description: long non-coding RNA (BNAP_LNC024195)
Source: RNAcentral
UUACGUCUCUUCUUUUCCUGAUUCAACAUUUUUCUCUCAAAAGUUAUAGAUUCUAUGUAGAGAUUCAUCGGCAAAGCUUAUUCUUUUGAAUCUAUCUCCUUUAUUUUCGUGUUCGUAUCUUAGACCAGGAGGAGUAGCAAUGAGUCUUAUUCACCAAUCGACAAAGACAAUGAAGGACCAGAAAGAGACGUGAGCUUGGGUCAACAACAACAAGAGCUUCUGCGUUUGUGUCUUUCAUCUACUACCUUCUCCUUACGGCAUGUGUUUAGCUGCAGACCCUUUCGUCUCGUACGACUUCAAAGUCUCGAAAUUCCUCAACAGGUUUGGCUUUGUUUUUAAUCUGUAAUAGUCAUCUCUCAUCUCUCUCUAUCUAUUUGUUUUUAAUCUGAUUUUUUUCUGUGUUUAGUAAAGGUCGUGGCCGUGAGCAAGAGGACCCAUCUCGAACUCGCCUCCGUCACGACCCGUCGUCACCGGUCUUGAGCUUGUCUUCACCGGUCUCGAACUCGUCCCUGUAGUCAUCGAUGAUGCCGGAGAUGGAGAUGAAUAGACGAAGACAUCGAGAAGAAAGAGGCAAAGGAGCAAGGAGGCGGCAGUAGAAAGAUUAGGUUUAGGGUUAAUUAUGUUUAUAUUUUGGUUUAGCGUUAAAUAGAUUUUGGUUAAUGUGUUCUGGUUUACUUAAUUUUAUUUAAUGCUGGUUUAGUUUUCUAAAACUAAUUUUAUUUGUAAAUUAUUUUAAUUAAUAAAUAUAAUUCAUCUUCAAUUUUAAAUUUAAAUUAAUUCUAAUUUAUAUUAUAAAUCAAUUUUAAUUUUAAUUAAUAAUUAAAAAUAAAUAAUUAAAAUUUAUAAUUUUAAAAUAUAAAUGAGAUAUAAAAUUAAUAAUUUUAAAAUAUAAAUGAGAUUUAAUAGCAUUAUAUCAAUGUCGUUAUAAAAUAUUAUACAACAUUAAAAAAAUGCCAUGAAAAACUAAAUCAUAGCACGAAUAAAAAAGUAUAAAACAUUAAUUUAUAGCUCAUAAAUAAACGCUACAAUAUCUAUACUUUUUAUAGCACACGAAAAUACGCUACGAUAAAGUGGGGUUGUAAAUAGAUACUAUUUUGUGUAAAACAAUAUAUAAGUAUUUCUUUCAUACCUUAACCCCGUAUCAUGAAUCAUGAUUUCAAAUCUAAUACUUUAUAAACCUAUACCCUAAGCCCCAUAUCCCAAACCCUAAAACAUAAAGAGUAAAUUAUAUAAUCUUAAUCAUAAACGUAAAAUUAUAAAUAAUAAAUCGAAAUUUUAAUCAUUAACAACAUCUAUAACCUAAAUUUGACUAUUACAUAUAUAACAUACAUAUAAAAUCAACUUAAAUCAAUAGAUCUGAUCGGUAGAGAUUACUUAAAACAAAGUGGAAGAAAAAAGAAAAAAGAAAAACAAAGAAAAUCUGUCAUUGGUUAAUAUCUCAAACACAAGAUAACCUUACGAGCCCUUGAUAUCUUCAUAUCUUCUAAUCCAACGGACUGGAUCAAUUUGCGACAAAGGCAUUAUCUUUGACUUCCACGCAUCAGAAACGAGUGGCCUAAAAUGCAUUGAAACACCCAUUUUUUAAUAUAAACUAAAAAAAAAUAUUUCAUUGGUCAAUUUUUGAUGGCAUGGAUUACAAUCUGUGGCCAUUCAUUAAUCAUGAUCCAAUGGCUAAAAACAUUUUAUCCUUCUGCUCAUCUCUCUCCGUCUGCAAGUUGUUUAUGUCUUAGAAGAAAAUUACCGGGGGGGGGGGUUUUAGGCGAAAAAGUGGUAUGGGCCUCACCAAAAAGGGGAGACCGUUGUUUUCUAUCGCGAAAUAAGAGACGUCUUUUGCUCUGUUUUGCGGGCUCUACUGACACGUGGCGAUUCGCGAUUGGUUCAUUUUUAAAUUUUUUUUUUUUAAAUCAGAAAAAAAAUAAAAAAUAGGAAAUAGGUAUUUGCGGUGCUCUUACGUCUCUUCUUUUCCUGAUUCAACAUUUUUCUCUCAAAAGUUAUAGAUUCUAUGUAGAGAUUCAUCGGCAAAGCUUAUUCUUUUGAAUCUAUCUCCUUUAUUUUCGUGUUCGUAUCUUAGACCAGGAGGAGUAGCAAUGAGUCUUAUUCACCAAUCGACAAAGACAAUGAAGGACCAGAAAGAGACGUGAGCUUGGGUCAACAACAACAAGAGCUUCUGCGUUUGUGUCUUUCAUCUACUACCUUCUCCUUACGGCAUGUGUUUAGCUGCAGACCCUUUCGUCUCGUACGACUUCAAAGUCUCGAAAUUCCUCAACAGGUUUGGCUUUGUUUUUAAUCUGUAAUAGUCAUCUCUCAUCUCUCUCUAUCUAUUUGUUUUUAAUCUGAUUUUUUUCUGUGUUUAGUAAAGGUCGUGGCCGUGAGCAAGAGGACCCAUCUCGAACUCGCCUCCGUCACGACCCGUCGUCACCGGUCUUGAGCUUGUCUUCACCGGUCUCGAACUCGUCCCUGUAGUCAUCGAUGAUGCCGGAGAUGGAGAUGAAUAGACGAAGACAUCGAGAAGAAAGAGGCAAAGGAGCAAGGAGGCGGCAGUAGAAAGAUUAGGUUUAGG